UGCCAGCAGCCGCGGUAAUACGGAGGGGGUUAGCGUUGUUCGGAAUUACUGGGCGUAAAGCGCGCGUAGGCGGACUAUUAAGUCAGAGGUGAAAUCCCCGAGCUCAACUUGGGAACUGCCUUUGAUACUGGUUGGCUAGAGUUCGGGAGAGGGUAGUGGAAUUCCCAGUGUAGAGGUGAAAUUCGUAGAUAUUGGGAAGAACACCAGUGGCGAAGGCGGCUACCUGGACCGAUACCGACGCUGAGGCGCGAAAGCGUGGGGAGCAAACAGGAUUAGAUA
RNAcentral lists this ribosomal RNA (279 nucleotides) under uncultured bacterium. RNAcentral describes it as "partial 16S ribosomal RNA". It matches the Rfam family "Bacterial small subunit ribosomal RNA", at positions 506 to 784 of the family's 1533-position model. The record is from RNAcentral.